GGCCUUAUAGUCUAGAGGUUAGGACACGACCCUCUCAAGGUUGAGACCGGAGUUCAAUUCUCCGUAAGGCUACCA
This 75-nucleotide transfer RNA is filed under the name Clostridia bacterium. RNAcentral's name for it is "tRNA-Glu". It matches the Rfam family "tRNA". From Rfam's summary of the family: Transfer RNA (tRNA) molecules are approximately 80 nucleotides in length. Their secondary structure includes four short double-helical elements and three loops (D, anti-codon, and T loops). Lineage: Bacteria; Bacillati; Bacillota; Clostridia. The record is from RNAcentral.